UACAGCGGGUAGUCGCUGUUCCGUGUCAACGGAGCAGAGGAAAGUCGAGACACGCACACUCUGCUGAUGAAGCCAAAGGCCACAAGGCCAGGCGGCCACAGCAGGUGUAAAAUGGUGCCCGGCGCAAGCCGGGGCAGGGCGACCUGACGACGGUGAAAGCGACUCUCUGAGUUGUAAGUAACCAUAAAGUGCCACAGAAACAAUGUCACCGGGCGACCGGUGAGUGCAAGGGUAAACUCCACCAGCGUGCAACCCAAAUAGGCAGGGACAUUUUGUCACCUGCGGGUAGGGGCACCUCGCCUAGGCGAGGAAGGAGAAUCUUCUCCUUAGAUAGAUGACUACUAAAACAGAAUCUCGCUUACGGCU
Molecule: RNase P RNA, 366 nt
Filed under: Desulforamulus putei DSM 12395
Lineage: Bacteria; Bacillati; Bacillota; Clostridia; Eubacteriales; Peptococcaceae
Description: Desulfotomaculum putei DSM 12395 Bacterial RNase P class B
Rfam family: Bacterial RNase P class B
About the family: Ribonuclease P (RNase P) is a ubiquitous endoribonuclease, found in archaea, bacteria and eukarya as well as chloroplasts and mitochondria. Its best characterised activity is the generation of mature 5'-ends of tRNAs by cleaving the 5'-leader elements of precursor-tRNAs. Cellular RNase Ps are ribonucleoproteins.
Source: RNAcentral